UAAUACGGAGGAUCCGAGCGUUAUCCGGAUUUAUUGGGUUUAAAGGGUGCGUAGGCGGGAUAAUAAGUCAGUGGUGAAAGUUUGCAGCUUAACUGUAAAAUUGCCGUUGAUAACUGUUAUUCUUGAGAGUAGAUAAGGUAGGCGGAAUGUGUUGUGUAGCGGUGAAAUGCAUAGAUAUAACACAGAACCCCGAUUGCGAAGGCAGCUUACCGGGCUACAUCUGACGCUGAUGCACGAAAGCGUGGGGAUCAAACAGGAUUAGAUACCCUGGUAGUCCACGCAGUAAACGAUGAAUACUAGCUGUAUGCGAUAUACUGUAUGUGGCAAAGCG
RNAcentral lists this ribosomal RNA (331 nucleotides) under uncultured Bacteroidota bacterium. RNAcentral describes it as "bacterial SSU rRNA". It matches the Rfam family "Bacterial small subunit ribosomal RNA", at positions 521 to 853 of the family's 1533-position model. The record is from RNAcentral. Lineage: Bacteria; Pseudomonadati; Bacteroidota.